This 837-nucleotide ribosomal RNA is filed under the name Staphylococcus caprae. RNAcentral's name for it is "bacterial SSU rRNA". It matches the Rfam family "Bacterial small subunit ribosomal RNA", at positions 53 to 871 of the family's 1533-position model. The record is from RNAcentral. Lineage: Bacteria; Bacillati; Bacillota; Bacilli; Caryophanales; Staphylococcaceae.
ACAUGCAAGUCGAGCGAACAGACGAGGAGCUUGCUCCUCUGACGUUAGCGGCGGACGGGUGAGUAACACGUGGAUAACCUACCUAUAAGACUGGGAUAACUUCGGGAAACCGGAGCUAAUACCGGAUAACAUGUUGAACCGCAUGGUUCAACAGUGAAAGACGGUCUUGCUGUCACUUAUAGAUGGAUCCGCGCCGCAUUAGCUAGUUGGUAAGGUAACGGCUUACCAAGGCAACGAUGCGUAGCCGACCUGAGAGGGUGAUCGGCCACACUGGAACUGAGACACGGUCCAGACUCCUACGGGAGGCAGCAGUAGGGAAUCUUCCGCAAUGGGCGAAAGCCUGACGGAGCAACGCCGCGUGAGUGAAGAAGGUCUUCGGAUCGUAAAACUCUGUUAUUAGGGAAGAACAAAUGUGUAAGUAACUAUGCACGUCUUGACGGUACCUAAUCAGAAAGCCACGGCUAACUACGUGCCAGCAGCCGCGGUAAUACGUAGGUGGCAAGCGUUAUCCGGAAUUAUUGGGCGUAAAGCGCGCGUAGGCGGUUUUUUAAGUCUGAUGUGAAAGCCCACGGCUCAACCGUGGAGGGUCAUUGGAAACUGGAAAACUUGAGUGCAGAAGAGGAAAGUGGAAUUCCAUGUGUAGCGGUGAAAUGCGCAGAGAUAUGGAGGAACACCAGUGGCGAAGGCGACUUUCUGGUCUGUAACUGACGCUGAUGUGCGAAAGCGUGGGGAUCAAACAGGAUUAGAUACCCUGGUAGUCCACGCCGUAAACGAUGAGUGCUAAGUGUUAGGGGGUUUCCGCCCCUUAGUGCUGCAGCUAACGCAUUAAGCACUCCG